GUGAGGAAUUUUCCGCAAUGGGCGAAAGCCUGACGGAGCAAUGCCGCGUGAAGGAUGAAGGCCUAUGGGUUGUAAACUUCUUUUCUCAGAAAAGAAUUAUGACGGUAUCUGAGGAAUAAGCAUCGGCUAACUCUGUGCCAGCAGCCGCGGUAAGACAGAGGAUGCAAGCGUUAUCCGGAAUGAUUGGGCGUAAAGCGUCUGUAGGUUGUUUAAAAAGUAUUCUGUCAAAGAUUAGGGCUUAACCCUAGAUAGGCAGAAUAAACUUUUAAGCUAGAGUUUGGUAGAGGCAGAGGGAAUUCCCGGUGGAGCGGUGAAAGGCGUAGAUAUCGGGAGGAACACCAAAGGCGAAGGCACUCUGCUGGGCCAAUACUAACACUGAGAGACGAAAGCGAGGGGAGCAAAUGGGAUUAGAUACCCGUGUAGUCC
Molecule: ribosomal RNA, 426 nt
Filed under: uncultured bacterium
Lineage: Bacteria
Description: bacterial SSU rRNA
Rfam family: Bacterial small subunit ribosomal RNA
Source: RNAcentral